UUGGAGGGCAAGUCUGGUGCCAGCAGCCGCGGUAAUUCCAGCUCCAAUAGCGUAUAUUAAAGUUGUUGCAGUUAAAAAGCUCGUAGUUGAAUUUCGGGGUUAGUAGGUUGGUCAUGCCACUGGUAUGUACUGGUCUCACUGAUUCCUCCUUCCUGAUGAGCCGUAAUGCCAUUAAUUUGGUGUUGCGAGGAAUCUGGACUGUUACUUUGAAAAAAUUAGAGUGUUUAAAGCAAGCUAACGCUUGAAUACAUUAGCAUGGAAUAAUGAAAUAGGACGUUCGAUCCUAUUUUGUUGGUUUCUAGGAUUGACGUAAUGAUUAAUAGGGAUAGUUGGGGGCAUUAGUAUUCAAUUGUCAGAGGUGAAAUUCUUGGAUUUAUUGAAGACUAACUACUGCGAAAGCAUUUGCCAAGGAUGUUUUCAUUAAUCAAGAACGAAAGUUAGGGGAUCGAAGACGAUCAGAUACCGUCGUAGUCUUAACCAUAAACUAUGCCGACUAGGGAUCGGAUGAUGUUAAUUUUUUAAUGACUCAUUCGGCGCCUUCCGGAAAC
RNAcentral lists this ribosomal RNA (548 nucleotides) under uncultured Glomeromycotina. RNAcentral's name for it is "SSU rRNA". It matches the Rfam family "Eukaryotic small subunit ribosomal RNA", at positions 548 to 1098 of the family's 1831-position model. The record is from RNAcentral. Lineage: Eukaryota; Fungi; Glomeromycota.